UUGAGCCGUGUGCGAUGAAAGUCGCACGCACGGUUCUUAGGGGGGAGGGAUUCCGGUAACGGGUCCUUCCUACCCUCC
RNAcentral lists this non-coding RNA (78 nucleotides) under Collimonas sp. OK607. The record is from RNAcentral. Lineage: Bacteria; Pseudomonadati; Pseudomonadota; Betaproteobacteria; Burkholderiales; Oxalobacteraceae.